UACAGAGGUCCCGAGCGUUGUUCGGAUUCACUGGGCGUAAAGGGUGCGUAGGUGGCUUGACAAGUUUGAUGUGAAAGCUCAGGGCUUAACCCUGAAAUGGCAUUGAAUACUGUCGGGCUGGAGGUUUGGAGGGGGGACUGGAAUUCUUGGUGUAGCAGUGAAAUGCGUAGAUAUCAAGAGGAACACCAGUGGCGAAGGCGAGUCCCUGGACAACACCUGACACUGAGGCACGAAAGCUAGGGGAACAAACAGG
RNAcentral lists this ribosomal RNA (253 nucleotides) under uncultured bacterium. RNAcentral describes it as "partial 16S ribosomal RNA". It matches the Rfam family "Bacterial small subunit ribosomal RNA", at positions 524 to 776 of the family's 1533-position model. The record is from RNAcentral.